AUAGCGUAUAUUAAAGUUGUUGCAGUUAAAAAGCUCGUAGUUGAACUUCAGACCUGGCUGGAUGGUCUGCCUAACGGUAUGUACUGUCCGGCUGGGCCUUACCUCUUGGUGAGCCGGUGUGCCCUUUAUUGGGUGCGUUGGUGAACCAGGACCUUUACCUUGAGAAAAUUAGAGUGUUCAAAGCAGGCCUAUGCCCGAAUACAUUAGCAUGGAAUAAUAAAAUAGGACGUGCGGUUCUAUUUUGUUGGUUUCUAGAGUCGCCGUAAUGAUUAAUAGGGAUAGUUGGGGGCAUUGGUAUUGAGUCGCUAGAGGUGAAAUUCUUGGAUUGACUCAAGACCAACUAUUG
RNAcentral lists this ribosomal RNA (346 nucleotides) under uncultured eukaryote. RNAcentral's name for it is "SSU rRNA". It matches the Rfam family "Eukaryotic small subunit ribosomal RNA", at positions 594 to 945 of the family's 1831-position model. The record is from RNAcentral.